This 735-nucleotide ribosomal RNA is filed under the name Marseniopsis sp. K GF-2018. RNAcentral describes it as "partial large subunit ribosomal RNA". The stretch from base 1 to 578 matches the Rfam family "Bacterial large subunit ribosomal RNA", at positions 1815 to 2925 of the family's 2925-position model. The record is from RNAcentral. Lineage: Eukaryota; Metazoa; Mollusca; Gastropoda; Littorinimorpha; Velutinidae.
AUGGCUCUCUGUUUUAUCUAUAUAUAUAGACUCUGACCUGCCCAGUGAAUAAUUUUUUUUAACGGCCGCGGUACUCUGACCGUGCGAAGGUAGCAUAAUCAUUUGUCUUAUAAUUGAAGUCUAGUAUGAAUGGUUUGACAAGAGUGUAGCUGUCUCUUUUUAAUUUUUUAGAAUUUUAUUUUUAAGUUAAAAAGCUUAAAUAGUAUUAAAAGACAAGAAGACCCUAUCGAGCUUUAAAAAAUUUUAUAGAUAUAAGAUAUUAAUAUAAAGUUUACUAUAAAGUAUUUUGGUUGGGGCGACUAAGGAACAUUAAAAGCUUCCUUGAAUUAUUUUUACUUACGGGUAAUGAUCCAAUUUUUUGAUUAAAGAAAUUAGUUACCGUAGGGAUAACAGCAUUAUCUUUUUUGAGAGUUCGUAUCGAAAAAAAGGAUUGUGACCUCGAUGUUGGACCAGAAUUUCCUAAAGAUGUAGCAGUCUUUAAGGGUUGGUCUGUUCGACCAUUAAAAUUCUACGUGAUCUGAGUUAAGACCGGUGUAAGCCAGGUCAGUUUCUAUCUUUUAUUAUUUAGGUGUAAAAUUAGUACGAAAGGACCAUUUUAUUUUAUUAUAUAAUUUUUAUGAUUAAGUUUAAUUAAACAUUAUCAAAUUAGCAAACUUAAUGCAAUUGACUUAGGCUCAAUAGAAAUAGGUGAAACUCCUUUAUUUGAUAUAAGGAUAAAGAUGGCAGAUUAAGUGC